GAAUAGCUCAGUCUCUAAAGCACAAGACUCUUAAUCUCAAGGUCAUGGGUUCAAGCCCCAUGUUGGACA
Molecule: non-coding RNA, 69 nt
Organism: Podarcis lilfordi (Lilford's wall lizard)
Lineage: Eukaryota; Metazoa; Chordata; Lepidosauria; Squamata; Lacertidae
Source: the annotation of a GenBank genome assembly